AGCAGGCUAGCAGGCGAGUGGAUGGGGAUAGACAGAUUUUCCUGUGAUGAAGUGAGCCAGUGUUAAGAGUUUGGGGCCAAGAAAUGUCUGCAAAUUUGGUUUUUCCUCAAUUAUAUAUAUUUUUUUCUCCCAUAAACACGAGGGUCUUUAAAACAUUUCCCUACAGCUAUUGGUUUCCUUUUUUGGCAACUGUGCACAAGUUCAUAUCAGCCAUCCCUCUACCAAGUCUUUUACCGGAGGAGUGGAGGGAGAAGAAAGCUCUGAUUCACCUGGGACCCUGUAGAGAACUGAAGGAUUGGGAUGGACCGACUUCCAGAAAAGCUAACUUGUGCGUGAGGAUCAGAAAGACUUGUGUUUUUCAUCAAGUGAGAAAUCAGUACUGGGGCAAGCGGGAAUCCACAUAAUGCAUUUUCCAUGAGAUAGCUCAUUCCAUGAGAUGGCUGGUCCGAAUGGAAAGUGCAGGAGUUGGCGCCAUCAGGCCGUGUAUAGCACAGAAUUGCAUUUAAAGUGAAAUUAAAAAUGAGGUCCAGUUUGGAGAUUUAAUUACCGUAUAUUUGUGUAACCGUUUGCAAAGUACUAUAGAGUGCUAUUUGUCUACGAUCGAGAAUCAUUUACGCGGGUCAUUUGGAGAUGCCAAGAGCGCUAAAGCUGUUUGGGGGAAGUGGGGCGGGGGCGCUGGCGUUUAUGCGGUCUUUUCACCCACCCUCGCCUAAUCAGGCGGCUCUCAAUCAGGUUUUCAAAAUACUAAUCUUGAUCUAAGAGCUCCUAUCUCUGCAUAAGUGGAGGAAAUGAUUCAUUUUUAGAGCCUUCUGGGCUUGGGAAAGGAGGAUGGUCGUCACACAUAAGCAGAAGACCUAAAAGCCAGGACUGGCGUCUGCUUUACUUCUGGCACUCUGCGGGACACGGACUUCUCCUGCGGUGUUAAUUUCGUGCACCCAGCUUGCUCGAUGACAGAGUCUGAUGUCUAACUAUCGACUGGUGGACUAAUGCCCAGAUUCAACAAAGGACGCCUCCAUCUCUAAGCCAGCAGAGGUCCAAAGGCCUUGGCUCACUUCUGGAACUUCCCUUUCAGCCUUGACCAAUACUUUGUAACUCUGUAACUAGAGUGCCUGGCUAAGGCUAUGCACAGGCCAAGGCAUCUCACCCUUUGCCACAGCUUGGGAGAAGUCUUCAGAAAUAAUUUUCCUAACACAAACAGAAGAAAGUCCACUCCAACAGUUCUAUCCACAGCUCUAGGCCAGAAAGAUCACGGAGGCAGGAGCCACAUACUGCUCCCAUUGUUUGAAAUUCAAUUUAAAGCCUGGCAUUAUACAAUAAACCUCUGCUUUUUGAAUGAGA
Ictidomys tridecemlineatus (thirteen-lined ground squirrel) is the source of this 1338-nucleotide non-coding RNA. NCBI's taxonomy places the organism in Eukaryota, Metazoa, Chordata, Mammalia, Rodentia, Sciuridae. The record is from RefSeq and is a predicted model, not a curated record.